ACUCCUACGGGAGGCAGCAGUAGGGAAUUUUCCACAAUGGGCGAAAGCCUGAUGGAGCAACGCCGCGUGCAGGAUGAAUGCCUUCGGGUUGUAAACUGCUUUUAUCUGUGACGAAUAUGACGGUAGCAGAUGAAUAAGGAUCGGCUAACUCCGUGCCAGCAGCCGCGGUAAU
Molecule: ribosomal RNA, 172 nt
Filed under: uncultured bacterium
Lineage: Bacteria
Description: partial 16S ribosomal RNA
Rfam family: Bacterial small subunit ribosomal RNA
Source: RNAcentral